GAUGAACGCUGGCGGCGUGCCUAAUACAUGCAAGUCGAGCGAACGCACGAGAAGCUUUCGUCCCUGCGGUUGGCGACGGACGGGCGGGUAACACGUAGAUCACCUACCUCUUAUUCUUGGAUGACUUCGGGGAACCGGAGCUAAUACCGGAGGAUAUGUUGAACCGCUUGGUUCAAAAGUGCAUGGCGGUCUUGCUGUCACUUAUAGAUGGAUCCGCGCUGCAUUAGCUAGUUGGUAAGGUACCGGCUUACCAAGGCAACGAUGCGUAGCUGACCUGAGAGGGUGAUCGGCCACACUGGAACUGAGACACGGUCCAGACUCCUACGGGAGGCAGCAGUAGGGAAUCUUCCGCAAUGGGCGAAAGCCUGAUGCAGCCACGCCGCGUGAGUGAUGAAGGUCUUCGGAUCGUAAAACUCUGUUAUUAGGGAAGAACAGAUGUGUAAGUAACUGUGCACAUCUUGACGGUACCUAAUGAGAAAGCCCCGGCUAACUACGUG
Molecule: ribosomal RNA, 497 nt
Filed under: uncultured bacterium
Lineage: Bacteria
Description: partial 16S ribosomal RNA
Rfam family: Bacterial small subunit ribosomal RNA
Source: RNAcentral